AUUUAUAUAGUUUAAGGUAAAACGUUACAUUUUCACUGUAGAAAUAAAGAAAACUUUUAUAAAUA
This 65-nucleotide transfer RNA is filed under the name Glossotermes oculatus. RNAcentral describes it as "tRNA-Glu". It matches the Rfam family "tRNA". Rfam says of the family: Transfer RNA (tRNA) molecules are approximately 80 nucleotides in length. Their secondary structure includes four short double-helical elements and three loops (D, anti-codon, and T loops). Further hydrogen bonds mediate the characteristic L-shaped molecular structure. tRNAs have two regions of fundamental functional importance: the anti-codon, which is responsible for specific mRNA codon recognition, and the 3' end, to which the tRNAs corresponding amino acid is attached (by aminoacyl-tRNA synthetases). tRNAs cope with the degeneracy of the genetic code in two manners: having more than one tRNA (with a specific anti-codon) for a particular amino acid; and 'wobble' base-pairing, i.e. permitting non-standard base-pairing at the 3rd anti-codon position. Lineage: Eukaryota; Metazoa; Arthropoda; Insecta; Blattodea; Rhinotermitidae. The record is from RNAcentral.